RNAcentral lists this transfer RNA (95 nucleotides) under Nicotiana sylvestris (wood tobacco). It matches the Rfam family "tRNA". Rfam says of the family: Transfer RNA (tRNA) molecules are approximately 80 nucleotides in length. Their secondary structure includes four short double-helical elements and three loops (D, anti-codon, and T loops). Lineage: Eukaryota; Viridiplantae; Streptophyta; Magnoliopsida; Solanales; Solanaceae. RNAcentral also lists the same sequence under 1 other name. The record is from Rfam by way of RNAcentral.
CCGACCUUAGCUCAGUUGGUAGAGCGGAGGACUGUAGUGGGCAAGGGCUAACAGCGCUAAUCCUUAGGUCGCUGGUUCGAAUCCGGCAGGUCGGA